ACAGAUUUAUCGAAUACAAUAGAAGAUUAGUCUCCGAAUACAAUUCAUCAUAUUAGUCUCCGAAUUUAAAAUACCGAACAAAGUUAGAACAUUACAAGUCUCGAGACCGCGAGUAGCGAGUUUGUCUUCACAUUACAAGUCGAUAUCGAUCAUCUAAACUAUCAUCACAUAGAAGAGAGCUGCGGUCAUCACGAGAAAGACACGCAAAAUUAUCUAAAGUACAACAUCAUCGACACCAAGCAUGUUACUGAAGCCGUGCCUCGAGAAUCACAUUCGCGUCCUUUGUCUGCUACCCCUGUCCUCGUCUUCUU
RNAcentral lists this long non-coding RNA (311 nucleotides) under Hordeum vulgare. RNAcentral's name for it is "long non-coding RNA (HVUL_LNC016462)". Lineage: Eukaryota; Viridiplantae; Streptophyta; Magnoliopsida; Poales; Poaceae. The record is from RNAcentral.